This 547-nucleotide long non-coding RNA is filed under the name Rattus norvegicus (Norway rat). RNAcentral's name for it is "long non-coding RNA NONRATT002311". Lineage: Eukaryota; Metazoa; Chordata; Mammalia; Rodentia; Muridae. The record is from RNAcentral.
AGGCCUGUUACAGCAAUACCCCACUCCCAGUACCAACUUCUGUCUUAGUUAGGGUUUUGCUUCUGUGAACAGACACCAUGACCAAGGCAACUCUUAUAAAGAACAUUUAAUUGGAACUGGUUCAGUACAGUGUCAUCAAGGUGGGAGCAUGGCAGCAUCUAGGCAGGCAUGGUGCAGGAGAAGCUGAGAGUUCUACAUCUUCAUCUGAAGGCUGCUAGCAAAAUAUUGACUUCCCUGCAGCCAGGAUAAGGGUCUUAAGCCCACACCCACAGUGACACACCUACUCCAACAGGGCCACACCUUCUAAUAGUGCCAAUCCCUGGACUGAGCAUAUACAAACUAUCACAAAUAUGAUCAAAAUACAUUGUAUAAAGUCCUCAAUUAAUUUUUGUUUUGUUUGUUUUUUGAGACAGGAUUUCUCCUUGUAGUCCUGAGUGUCUUGGAAUUCACUAUGUAGACUAUGCAGAUCUCUGUGAGUUUGAGAUCAGCCUAGUCUACAAAGUGAGUGCCAGGACAGCUAGGGAGUUAUACAGAUAAACCCUGUCAC